Molecule: ribosomal RNA, 641 nt
Filed under: Lactobacillus sp. JCM 9717
Lineage: Bacteria; Bacillati; Bacillota; Bacilli; Lactobacillales; Lactobacillaceae
Description: bacterial SSU rRNA
Rfam family: Bacterial small subunit ribosomal RNA
Source: RNAcentral
GCAGUCGAGCGAGCCGAACUAAUUGAUUACCUUCGGGUAUGAAGUUAGGGAAGCGAGCGGCGGAUGGGUGAGUAACACGUGGGUAACCUACCCUAUAGUCUGGGAUACCACUUGGAAACAGGUGCUAAUACCGGAUAAAAGGAGAGAUCACAUGAUUUCUUUUUGAAAGGCGGCGUAAGCUGUCGCUAAAGGAUGGACCCGCGGUGCAUUAGCUAGUUGGUAAGGUAACGGCUUACCAAGGCAACGAUGCAUAGCCGAGUUGAGAGACUGAUCGGCCACAUUGGGACUGAGACACGGCCCAAACUCCUACGGGAGGCAGCAGUAGGGAAUCUUCCACAAUGGACGCAAGUCUGAUGGAGCAACGCCGCGUGAGUGAAGAAGGUUUUCGGAUCGUAAAGCUCUGUUGUUGGUGAAGAAAGAUAGUGAGAGUAACUGCUCAUUAUUUGCCGGUAAUCAACCAGAAAGUCACGGCUAACUACGUGCCAGCAGCCGCGGUAAUACGUAGGUGGCAAGCGUUGUCCGGAUUUAUUGGGCGUAAAGCGAGCGCAGGCGGAAAGAUAAGUCAGAUGUGAAAGCCCUCGGCUUAACCGAGGAAUAGCAUCGGAAACUGUCUUUCUUGAGUGCAGAAGAGGAGAGUGGAA